This 270-nucleotide ribosomal RNA is filed under the name uncultured bacterium. Its description in RNAcentral is "partial 16S ribosomal RNA". It matches the Rfam family "Bacterial small subunit ribosomal RNA", at positions 933 to 1217 of the family's 1533-position model. The record is from RNAcentral.
UGGAGCGUGUGGUUUAAUUCGAUGCUACGCGAAGAACCUUACCCGGGUUUGACAUACAGGUAGUAGGGAACUGAAAGGGGACCGACCCUUCGGGGAGCCUGAACAGGUGCUGCAUGGCUGUCGUCAGCUCGCGUCGUGAGAUGUCCGGUUAAGUCCGGUAACGAGCGCAACCCUUGCCGUAUGUUACAAGUGUCAUACGGGACUGCCGGUAUCAAGCCGGAGGAAGGUGGGGAUGACGUCAAGUCAGCAUGGCCUUUAUAUCUUGGGCAC